AGUAAAAUCGCUGGAUCAUAAGGUAAUUCUGUGUUUAAUUUUGUAAAGAAUCACCAAAAUGUUUUCCACAGCAGCUGCACCAUUUUACAUUUCCACCUGCGAU
Molecule: microRNA precursor, 103 nt
Filed under: Marmota monax (woodchuck)
Lineage: Eukaryota; Metazoa; Chordata; Mammalia; Rodentia; Sciuridae
Source: RNAcentral